AUUCCAGCUCCAAUAGCGUAUAUUAAAGUUGUUGCAGUUAAAAAGCUCGUAGUUGGAUUUCUGGGAGGGUGCCAAUGUCCGCCGAGUGCGUGCGCAGCGGCGCCCUUCCAUCCUUCUGUUAACGCCUCUUGGCAUUCAUUUGCUGGUGGCGGGCUCAGAUAUUUUACCUUGAGAAAAUUAGAGUGUUUCAGGCAGGCUAGGCCGGAAUACAUUAGCAUGGAAUAAUGGAAUAGGACUACGGUCUCUUUGUUGGUUUGAGGGACUGCAGUAAUGAUUAAUAGGGAUAGUCGGGGGCAUUAGUAUUUAAUUGUCAGAGGUGGAAUUCUCGGAUUUGUUAAAGACUAACUUAUGCGAAAGCAUUUGCCAAGGAUGUUUUCAUCA
This 381-nucleotide ribosomal RNA is filed under the name Strombidiidae sp. RNAcentral's name for it is "partial small subunit ribosomal RNA". It matches the Rfam family "Eukaryotic small subunit ribosomal RNA", at positions 582 to 975 of the family's 1831-position model. Lineage: Eukaryota; Ciliophora; Spirotrichea; Strombidiidae. The record is from RNAcentral.